This is a long non-coding RNA of Leguminivora glycinivorella, 668 nucleotides long. RefSeq lists it as uncharacterized. The record is from RefSeq and is a predicted model, not a curated record. The transcript is spliced from 2 exons. NCBI's taxonomy places the organism in Eukaryota, Metazoa, Arthropoda, Insecta, Lepidoptera, Tortricidae.
GCUAGUUUGAGCAUAAAGAGUCACGCUAUGACCAUUAUUUAUCACAUUUGAGAUAUUUUUUGUUUUGACUUUACUGGCCUCAGAGAUAGGUGCAAUAUGACCUAUAAUAGCAAGGCCAGUUGCAAAAAUCAAAACAAUAAUUUAUCUCCAACUUUUAUUAUAUUGCAACUCAAUCUCUGUGUGACCGUCUUCAUGUUCAGAAGUUUAUCGUUCCUAACUCCAGUUAAGUUUGUUCGUGAACAAAUUUAUUGAAUAGAAGUCAAUCAUGAGACUAUUUUCUUCCAUCGGGCUCACAGCAUUGCUGCUGCUAAUACUGCCAACUGAUGCUGACUACGUCACCUGGUCUCAAUGCAGUCGCUAUGGCCGUCGUGAACGCGUCAGAGUAUACCCAACCGACACAGAAGCUACUUGGCUAAACAUCGCCAUGUGUCGCAUCAAAACUGUAACCCUGUAUGACCUUGACGGCCUACCCAACCUAGUCUUUCUCUUCUUGAGCUAUAAUGACAUAGAAAAUAUACAAACCGAUGUGUUCCGCUCCCUUCCGAAAUUAACAAAACUAGAGUUAGGAUACAAUAAGCUUAAACAAGCGCCUGUUUUUGUACAAAAUUCCUGCUCUAACCUAGUAGAGUUAUUCCUAUGGAAUAACCAGAUUGAAAAUAUAAAUAAUG